RNAcentral lists this ribosomal RNA (504 nucleotides) under uncultured Glomeraceae. RNAcentral describes it as "SSU rRNA". It matches the Rfam family "Eukaryotic small subunit ribosomal RNA", at positions 569 to 1078 of the family's 1831-position model. Lineage: Eukaryota; Fungi; Glomeromycota; Glomeromycetes; Glomerales; Glomeraceae. The record is from RNAcentral.
AGCAGCCGCGGUAAUUCCAGCUCCAAUAGCGUAUAUUAAAGUUGUUGCAGUUAAAAGCUCGUAGUUGAAUUUCGGGAUCAAUAUGUUGGUCGUGCCUUGGUACGUACUGGCAUUAUUGGUUUCUACCUUCUGAAGAACCUCGAUGUCAUUAAUUUGGUGUCUUGGGGAAUCAGGACUGUUACUUUGAAAAAUUAGAGUGUUUAAAGCAAGCUAACGCUUGAAUACAUUAGCAUGGAAUAAUGAAAUAGGACGUUCGAUCCUAUUUUGUUGGUUUCUAGGAUUGACGUAAUGAUUAAUAGGGAUAGUUGGGGGCAUUAGUAUUCAAUUGUCAGAGGUGAAAUUCUUGGAUUUAUUGAAGACUAACUACUGCGAAAGCAUUUGCCAAGGAUGUGUUCAUUAAUCAAGAACGAAAGUUAGGGGAUCGAAGACGAUCAGAUACCGUCGUAGUCUUAACCAUAAACUAUGCCGACUAGGGAUCGGAUGAUGUUAAUUUUUAAUGACUCA